This 1554-nucleotide ribosomal RNA is filed under the name metagenome. Its description in RNAcentral is "bacterial LSU rRNA". It matches the Rfam family "Bacterial large subunit ribosomal RNA", at positions 448 to 2032 of the family's 2925-position model. The record is from RNAcentral.
GGAGACCACUCCGUAAGGCUAAAUACUACUCAGUGACCGAUAGCGCAUAGUACUGUGAAGGAAAGGUGAAAAGGACCCCGGGAGGGGAGUGAAAGAGAACCUGAAACCCUGUGUUUACAAGCUGUCGAAGCACGAAAGUGCGACGGCGUACUUUUUGUAGAACGGUCCGGCGAGUUAUGAUGAGUGGUAAGGUUAAGGACUUAAGGUCCGGAGCCGAAGCGAAAGCGAGUGUUAAAAGCACGGUUGAAUCGCUUAUCAUAGACCCGAAACCGGGUGAUCUAUCCAUGUCCAGGUUGAAGCUGCCGUAAGAGGUAGUGGAGGACCGAACACACAUCCGUUGAAAAGGGUGGUGAUGAGGUGUGGAUAGGGGAGAAAUUCCAAUCGAACCCGGAGAUAGCUGGUUCUCCUCGAAAUAGCUUUAGGGCUAGCCUCUGGUUAGUCUGCCGCAGGUAGAGCACUGAAUUUCCUAGGGGGCGUCAAAGCCUACCGAAGAAUAUCAAACUGCGAAUGGCGGACAGAUGAUGCCAGGGAGUCAGACUGCACGAGAUAAGUUGGGUGGUCAAAAGGGAAAGAGCCCAGACCUACAGCUAAGGUCCCAAAGUGUGUGUUAAGUGGAAAAGGAUGUGGGAUUUCGAAGACAACUAGGAUGUUGGCUCAGAAGCAGCCACACAUUAAAAGAGUGCGUAAUAGCUCACUAGUCGAGAGGUCCUGCGCCGAAAAUGUCCGGGGCUAAAACACAACACCGAAGCUUAGGAAUUCUAAUGAAUUGGUAGAGGAGCAUUGAAGACGGAACGAAGCCAUACCGAAAGGAAUGGUGGACUGUCUUGAAGAGAGAAUGCCGGAAUGAGUAGCGAGAUUGAAGUGAGAAUCUUCAAGGCCGAAUAUCUAAGGUUUCCAGGGUAAAGCUGAUCUGCCCUGGGUAAGUCGGGGCCUAAGGCAAGGUCGAAAGACGUAGUCGAUGGAUAACAGGUUGAAAUUCCUGUACUGCAUCAAAUCAGAAAUGUGGGGACACAUGAGGGAAGCAUGAGCCGGAAAAGGAAAGUCCGGUACAAGCGCAGCAGAGGACAGAUAGGCAAAUCCGUCUGUCAACUCGAGGGCGCGAUGUGGAGCGAACCAAAGUAGCGAAGCAUGUGGAGCUUGUGUCGAGAAAAGCCGCUAUAGUGUUUGAUGUACCCGUACCGUAAACCGACACAGGUGGAUGAGGAGAGAAUCCUAAGGCCGGCGGGAGAAGCAUUGUUAAGGAACUCGGCAAAAUGACCCCGUAACUUCGGGAGAAGGGGUGCUCCAGAGAUGGAGCCGCAGAGAACUGGCCCAAGCAACUGUUUAGCAAAAACACAGGUCUAUGCAAAACCGAAAGGUGAGGUAUAUGGGCUGACGCCUGCCCGGUGCUGGAAGGUUAAGAGGAGAUGUUAAUCGCAAGGUGAAGCAUUGAAUUUAAGCCCCAGUAAACGGCGGCCGUAACUAUAACGGUCCUAAGGUAGCGAAAUUCCUUGUCGGGUAAGUUCCGACCCGCACGAAAGGCGUAAUGAUUUGGGCACUGUCUCGACAAUGCAC